UGGGGAAUAUUGCGCAAUGGGGGAAACCCUGACGCAGCAACGCCGCGUGAGUGAAGAAGGCCUUUGGGUUGUAAAGCUCUUUCGGCCGGGAAGAAGGGUGGCUGUGUGAAUAGCAUAGUCAUUUGAUGGUACCGGAAUAAGAAGCACCGGCUAACUUCGUGCCAGCAGCCGCGGUAAUACGAAGGGUGCAAGCGUUGUUCGGAAUUAUUGGGCGUAAAGGGUUCGUAGGCUGGAAGCUAAGUCAAUUGUGAAAUCCCCGAGCUUAACUUGGGACGUGCAGUUGAAACUGGUUUUCUUGAGUAUUGGAGAGGGUGGUGGAAUUGCUGGUGUAGGAGUGACAUCCGUAGAGAUCAGCAGGAACACCAGAGGCGAAGGCGACCACCUGGCCAAUAACUGACGCUGAGGAACGAAAGCGUGGGGAGCAAACAGG
This 430-nucleotide ribosomal RNA is filed under the name uncultured bacterium. RNAcentral's name for it is "bacterial SSU rRNA". It matches the Rfam family "Bacterial small subunit ribosomal RNA", at positions 355 to 776 of the family's 1533-position model. The record is from RNAcentral.